GUUAAGUCUGGCUCUCUUACUGUUGCAUGCUGUCCUCUCAAGCUGGAAUGUCCUCUUCUGAUUUCUCAUCUGGAAAACACCACUUCAUCUCUCAAGACCAAGCUCCAAAGUUUCAUGUUCUGUGAUGUUUUCCCAGGUUCCCCAGUAAGAAUUAUUUCCUUUCCCCCUAUCUUUUUAUUUGCAUCUUUUCUACAACCCUUUUUGAACAUGUGCCAGGCUUUGGUGGUUCCACAGAUGCUGGGAGCUGCAGGGAAGAGGCCAUGCAUUAGCCUGUCCAUGGACAUCCAGCAGCUCUAGGAGGAACUGUAACUGGUACCUGUUUCACAGAUGCUUGGGAUUCAGUGAAAGAAUGAGAACAGCACCUCAGGCCUGGUCUCUGGGCACUUGCUUGACUGACCCUUGGCUCACUACAUGGUUGACAGCAUUCGUUCAUUCUCCCUUCCUUUGCCCACUCCUCAUUGCCUUCCACCAGCAGUUUAAGCCUUUCAUCUGGUGUUCAGGGAGCCUGUGUCUCAGCUGGGGCUCAGCUGCUGGGUUAUCAGUGCCAAUGAGCAUACUCAGGUUGGAUUUCUGGUCUGCCCAGGGCCUUGGAAAUGUGCCCUCAAUGCUCUCUUGGGUGAGUUUCCUUGAUGCUGGGUGUCCUGGGUGGAAAGGUCUUUGAAGUGUUCUGUGCCUGAUCUGGAAUCCUGGAGCAGCUCAAAAAUGCUUCUCUGAAGUCCAUGCGACCAACAGUUCCG
This 737-nucleotide long non-coding RNA is filed under the name Chinchilla lanigera (long-tailed chinchilla). RNAcentral's name for it is "lncRNA (ENSCLAG00000022953.1)". Lineage: Eukaryota; Metazoa; Chordata; Mammalia; Rodentia; Chinchillidae. The record is from RNAcentral.